GGGCAAGUGGCGGAAUUGGUAUACGCGCCGGUCUUAGGAACCGGUUCUUCACGGAUUAAGAGUUCGAGUCUCUUCUUGCCCACCA
RNAcentral lists this transfer RNA (85 nucleotides) under Candidatus Pelagibacter sp. RNAcentral describes it as "tRNA-Leu". It matches the Rfam family "tRNA". Rfam says of the family: Transfer RNA (tRNA) molecules are approximately 80 nucleotides in length. Their secondary structure includes four short double-helical elements and three loops (D, anti-codon, and T loops). Further hydrogen bonds mediate the characteristic L-shaped molecular structure. tRNAs have two regions of fundamental functional importance: the anti-codon, which is responsible for specific mRNA codon recognition, and the 3' end, to which the tRNAs corresponding amino acid is attached (by aminoacyl-tRNA synthetases). tRNAs cope with the degeneracy of the genetic code in two manners: having more than one tRNA (with a specific anti-codon) for a particular amino acid; and 'wobble' base-pairing, i.e. permitting non-standard base-pairing at the 3rd anti-codon position. Lineage: Bacteria; Pseudomonadati; Pseudomonadota; Alphaproteobacteria; Candidatus Pelagibacterales; Candidatus Pelagibacteraceae. The record is from RNAcentral.